This 492-nucleotide ribosomal RNA is filed under the name uncultured bacterium. Its description in RNAcentral is "partial 16S ribosomal RNA". It matches the Rfam family "Bacterial small subunit ribosomal RNA", at positions 29 to 507 of the family's 1533-position model. The record is from RNAcentral.
AGUGAACGCUGGCGGUAGGCCUAACACAUGCAAGUCGAACGGCAGCACAGUAAGAGCUUGCUCUUACGGGUGGCGAGUGGCGGACGGGUGAGGAAUACAUCGGAAUCUACUUUUUCGUGGGGGAUAACGUAGGGGAACUUACGCUAAUACCGCAUAUGCCCUACGGGUGAAAGCAGGGGAUAUUCGGACCUUGCGCGAUUGAAUGAGCCGAUGUCGGAUUAGCUAGUUGGCGGGGUAAAGGCCCACCAAGGCGACGAUCCGUAGCUGGUCUGAGAGGAUGAUCAGCCACACUGGAACUGAGACACGGUCCAGACUCCUACGGGAGGCAGCAGUGGGGAAUAUUGGACAAUGGGCGCAAGCCUGAUCCAGCCAUACCGCGUGUGUGAAGAAGGCCUUCGGGUUGUAAAGCCCUUUUGUUGGGAAAGAAAAGCAGCAGGUUAAUACCCCGCUGUUCUGACGGUACCCAAAGAAGAAGCACCGGCUAACUUCGUG